Long non-coding RNA from Alligator mississippiensis (American alligator), 2066 nucleotides. RefSeq lists it as uncharacterized. NCBI's taxonomy places the organism in Eukaryota, Metazoa, Chordata, Crocodylia, Alligatoridae. The transcript has 3 exons. The record is from RefSeq and is a predicted model, not a curated record.
ACCUAAUACCAGUGUGCUCUCUUCCUUUUCAAUCUCGUUGCUGAGUAAGAAUAACACCGUUAACAGUGUCCUUGUAAUCAACUAAACAUACUAAAAUCUGAUAUAGACAGAGUUCCUGGGCAUCAUCUUUGAAAACUCGUGGAGAUCAGGAGAGGUCCUGAAAUAAUGGAAAAGGACACAUGUAGUGCCCAUCUUUAAGAAAGGGAAGAAGGAAGAUCCAGGGAACUAUGAACCAGUCAGCCUCCUCUCAGUCUCUGGAAAAAUCAUGGAGCAUGUCCUAGAGAAAUCCAUUUCAAAGCACUUGGAGAAGAAGGUGAUUAGGAACAGUCAGCAUGGAUUCACCAGGAAAAUGUUUUUUCUCUCUCUGUUCCUGUGAAAAAGGCCUAAAGAAACAAAGGGAAACAAUGAACUAAAUGGCUAUCAAGGGAAAUGGUGAAACAAACUCUACUCAACACAAAAGAAGCUAACUGGAAACAGUGAUGUCUAUAAUUCCUUUCAGUUAUAAUAUCUUUGUGGGAUAAUCAUAAUAGAUAAAAAAAAAAAGAGUUUUAAGUUGGUGUCCCUUUAAACAUUUAUUUAAAGGAAAAACAGGGAAAAAAUCUAAAGUAAGCUCUGUUUUCUUCUUCUCUGGUUUGGAUUUCAUCAAUUCUCAGGAUUGAUGUUCUAGGGUUAGUGCCUUCUUCCAUUAAAAUCAGCAGCAAGUCCACUUCACUCUCAAGCACCCUUUGCCAAAGUUGUGACAAAAGCAAUAGUAAUGAUAACGGUUUGCACUGAUGGCAGCACUUUUCAUCCAAAGAUCACUAAGCUCUUUCAAAAUUGUGCAAUAUCAUACCCAUUUUAAAGGUAAGGAGACUGAAGUACAUAGCUCCCAUUGUCCUCAGCUCAUACAGUGUGCCUACAUCAAAGUCAGGAUUUGAGCCAGUCCCAGAGACAAGAGAAAUAACCCACAUAUUCCACCUCUUCCUUGUUUUAACCACUAGCCCAUUUUGCCUCCCCAAUGGCAGUCCCUCACCAAAGUCUCAACCUCAGCUUUUCCCACAGUAUCGUCUUUUCUGUGGGCUUAUGUGAAUGAAAGGGGAUCCUGCGAGCAAAACCUUUGCUGAUCAGCUAAGUGGAUCUGAAGUUUCUCUCUCCUUUUGCUUUCCUUCCUGCCACGUGGCUGCCUGUGCUGCAGUUCGGGCUUAGGUUGAAUACUCAGACUUCAGAGAGAGCUGAUCUGUUCUUUGAUUAGCCACCCCAGCAUUUUCUGGGUGUUGAUUAUUGAUCUCUAAACAGGCUGGCAGAGAAAGCUCUUGUUUCUGAAAACUUGUCCUGCUAUUGGCACCACAGGAAAAUCCAAUUUUCAACUGCAAGUCUAUAGGAUAGCAGGACUCCUCUACAAUUAGGAUGAUGGUAGUUAUUAUUUUACUUUUAUUAAGCAAGCCCCAGCCACUGUUUUCCAGUCUUAGCUUUUACUUACAGUAAUCAAUUUUUCAGUAUAACUGGCUGUAAUUGUUGGCUAGAUAUUGAGCCUUCAUGGUGCUUAGACAUAGUGUGUUGCUGUGAAGUGUCUUCCCCAUACUUCUCAGACAGAUGGGUAAUAAUACUAUACAUUAAUACCUCCACAUUGGUUUAUGUGUGUUUGACCACAGCGCUAGCAUAAUUAUUUUUCUUCAGUAAAAGCUAUUAGAGAUCUAUUUGGUAGGUUUUACGAUCAAUAGCUCCUGUGAUAUUUGUGUAGCAGGCACAGAAUAAUCAAUUGAAGGUCAUAUAAAGUAAAUUACCAUCCUCCUAUAAUGAUUCUUUUUUCUAGAUGAGAAUGGGUUUUAUUAUUUCAUCAGGAGAGCCCUCACAAUGCUUGCUUUUUUUGUGUGUGAGAGAGGGAGAGAAAAAGAGGGAGGGAGAGAGAGAGAGAGAGAUAAAUGUUGUGGGUGUAUUUUGUAACAUGGUAUUAAUAUCUAUUACCUGAAUUUAUAUUAUCGGGCUAUUGAAUCAGUGGUUGCCAAAGUUUAGAAUAAUUUUAUGUGAUUGGUGGCACAAUGAAUAUCUACCUGUGAAGAAAUAAAAGACGUGGCUUAGAUUUGGUA